This 257-nucleotide long non-coding RNA is filed under the name Homo sapiens (human). Its description in RNAcentral is "HSALNT0336285". Lineage: Eukaryota; Metazoa; Chordata; Mammalia; Primates; Hominidae. The record is from RNAcentral.
CUUUUAUAUAGGGGCGCCCGGACCCCAGAGCAGGGCUAGUCCCUUAACCCAUUCCGCCAUCUAGCGUCCGCAGGGGCUCAUGGCAGGUUGGAGCCGGACAGUCUGGAAACUGCAAUCUAGAUUUUGCAGAAGGGUGACCUUUAGCCUUCUGCAAAACCUAGAUCUCACUUAAUGUAGAUCUCACUGAAGAAGGCAAAUAAAAAAAAAAGAGAUCAAAUGGCAAUGUUGAGGCUGGACUGGGGGAGGUAGGAAGCUUG